GGGAACGAUGGUUUGCGCCACGUAUUCCGUACGUGACUGCCAUUGCUUUUAAUGAUGGUAAGAGCGCUUUAAAGUUUUCGAAAUGAUAGAAAAAACGGUAGGCACAAGUAUUUUAAAAGGCACGGAAAGAAAAACAAUGGGCAGUACACUUAAGAAGCCAAAGCUUCCACUGCCACUGCAUAAAAGCAGAAGGUACUGACACAAAUAAAUGCGGAAACAGCACGACCAUGUAGCUGCCCGCCAACUUGACAAAAGUAGCUCGUUAGAACCACAAUAAUGACACUAGAAUGAUGCAGAGCCACCACCAACUCCAGCAAAUAGCGUAGGAAGGUUGAAAUGAGAAAUAAUUAUGACAAUUUCGCGGAUAAAAAUAUGAAGGAACAUAUAUGCUAUGUAGAUCGAGAAUCUUGCAACAACUUGAAAGCUGAAGAGUGGAACAAUUUUGGAGAAGAGACCACCAAAAAACUGAUCAAUUCCAAACCAAAACGUUGCCUACACGACUACGUCUGUUCAGUCAGUGCAGCGAAGCCUUGUAUGCGGCGGAGCCACGGUCAGAGACGAAGGACAGACCAAGAGAGAAUUGAAGUACAUCGAACGAAAAUUGAAUUUGAUUUUACUCCUGAUGCAAUAUCUUGGUAUUUUAAAUUCUUUGCUAAUGCCCUCUUGGAAAUAUUUUGAUUAAUGGCAGUCGAUAUGCUUUUCGACUCACUGUUUGAAUUUACAUAUUUAUGUACAUGUGUAACUGCAGAUUUUAUUUAUAUUGCUUACUUGAAGAUCGCCAUCGUGAGUGGAUUUGGGGGACUGGGCUUCUUGAUCGAUCAUGUUAGUCUCGACCGAUUCUCCUAUGGCAGAGUUUGUAGGAGGCACAGCUCGAAUAAUAUUCUCAAUGUUUACUGUUUCAUCACCUUGUUGGAUAUGAGCGUGCUGCACACAUUUUGGAUUUAUCAUUAUUAAAAACCUCGCCACCACUUCAGUGCAUCCGUAUAUCUUGAAUGAUUUGUUAUUUCGCUAAAAAAAUAUUUGUGGCCACUACAAUAAGUCUAAGAACAAAUAUCAUUUGCACGUGCCACCUAGUACAUACUUCUUACAUAGUCGUAUGUAUGUAUAUAAUCGUGUGUACUUAAGCGCAUAAGAGAUAUUGUAAAUGUAUGUUUCAUACUGUUAAAGCAUGUACCCAUCUAUCAUAAUAAUAAUAAUUUGCCGAGUGAAUAAUAGUUUUUAAUUGUCGGAAGAACUUCAUUAAAAUUUGUGGUCUACCAAA
Drosophila pseudoobscura is the source of this 1261-nucleotide long non-coding RNA. RefSeq lists it as uncharacterized. The transcript is spliced from 2 exons. Lineage: Eukaryota; Metazoa; Arthropoda; Insecta; Diptera; Drosophilidae. The record is from RefSeq and is a predicted model, not a curated record.